CGACACACGCUGGCGGAUUUUUCUCACUUCCUGUUUGGUCGCUGCUGCUGCAUGCUAACCUGACGCAGCAGUCUGUGUGCGUGCGCGUGCGUGAGCGAGCGCAGCUUGCAGGGGUGUGUCGUCCGUGCGACAGCGGACAUAUGGAGGAAAACCGACUCUAUAUUUACUACAUAGGGGGAAGGAGAACAUACAAAUAUUCAUAUUCAUAUACACAAAAAUAUCUCGGGCCGGUAGUGAUGUGCAUUCCAGUUCGUUUAAGUGAACUGAAUCUUUAGAAUCAGUUCAGCCAAAAGAGUCGUUCAAACGAAUCGUUCAACGAAGUCCGCGUUUUGGUCGAAAGAUGCCAGCAUGCGGUCAACCAAAAGCUCCACCUGUAGACAACGUAAAAGCUGCAUCAACGUCAAGUUGGAGGAUCCUCAACCACCGACCGGAUGGUGAUUGGAAAGAUUUUCCUCCAUCUGGCAUUCCGAGACAUCUCAAAAUGUUGAGUUUGAAAUAACAGUAAAAUCUAGUCUAUUGGGAAAUGUGAUUUAUUCAAAACACAAGUGUGUAAAUUUCAAAUGUUGUAUCUGUUUUUGUUCCAAUGUGUUAAAUAUUUUGUGAUUGAGCAAUCAUUGCAAGUUUUAAAUGUGCAAGUUCAAGUUUAUUGACAAGUGUAUUUCAUAAAUAUGAAUAAAUAUUGUUAUCCAAUAUA
Long non-coding RNA from Syngnathus acus (greater pipefish), 694 nucleotides. RefSeq lists it as uncharacterized. NCBI's taxonomy places the organism in Eukaryota, Metazoa, Chordata, Actinopteri, Syngnathiformes, Syngnathidae. The record is from RefSeq and is a predicted model, not a curated record. The transcript is spliced from 2 exons.